Non-coding RNA from Picea glauca (white spruce), 121 nucleotides. NCBI's taxonomy places the organism in Eukaryota, Viridiplantae, Streptophyta, Pinopsida, Pinales, Pinaceae. The record is from Rfam.
ACAUGCCUACAACAUAACGUUAAUGCACCGGAUCCCAUUAGAACUCCGCAGUUAAGCACGCUCAGGAUAGAGUAGUACUGGGAUGGGUGACCACUCGUGAAUUACUAGUGUUUUACAUGCC